AAGGAAUAAAGGGGUAAAAGGGUUACGAGGAUUGAUCGAUCGGUGGUCGCGGUGUCGGGGGAGAGCGGCGACAUGGCGGACUGGGACGGCGCUUCGGAGAGCGAUCUGAAGACGGCGGGGGCGGAGCCGCUUUCUGACGGGCGGCGCGGGCUGCGGCUCAAGGGUUGGCACAUCGAGUCCAUCAAGCGCCCCAUCCUCGGCUCGCUCGCCCGCCAAGAGCUGGAAGAAAAGCUAGGAACAUCACACUUGCCUGAAAUGGUGUUUGGAGAUAGUUCUUUAUUUCUUUUACAUGUGGGAACUGGUAUUAAAUUGCACUUCAAUGCAUUUGACGCUCUAAAGGGUUGGAUGCAAGAAGCACUGCCACCAGUUGAGGUCCCUGCUGCUGCAAAAUGGAAGUUCAGAAGCAAACCUUCACAGCAAGUGAUUCUCGAUUAUGAUUACACAUUUACAACACCAUAUUGUGGCAGUGAAACAUCAGAAUCAGAACUAGAAAAGACAAUUCUAGAAGAUGGUUGCUGCAGUCUUCACUGGGAGGACUGUGACGAGCGAAUUGAUCUGGCUGUAUUGUCAAUGAAAGAACCAAUCCUGUUCUAUGAUGAGGUAGUUCUCUAUGAGGACGAGUUGGCUGAUAAUGGAGUAUCACUCUUAACUGUAAAAGUGAGAGUCAUGCCUAGUUGCUGGUUUCUUCUUCUGCGUUACUGGCUUAGAGUUGAUGGAGUAUUAAUGAGACUAAGGGAUACUCGAGUUUAUUGUUCUUUUGCUAGCGAUGACAAAGUGAAGCCUAUCAUCAUUCGAGAGAACUGCUGGAGAGAAGCAACUAUUGAAAGUUUAUCUGUCCAAGGCUUUCCUUCUGGUUCUGCAGCAUAUGCGGAUCCAAAUCUUAUCAGUCAAAAUCUCCCUAUAGUCAAAAAUAAAACCCAAAGGCUGAAGAUUCCCAGGAGGUUGAUUGGAAUAUGCCAAUAACUUGAUGGAAUCAUUAUAUGGACUGCCGAUAUUUUUCUUCUCCUGGUCCUAUUUCCUUAUCAGAACAUGAUGGUGGGAAUUUCAAUGUAUCCGAGAAGCAGCUCUGAAGUUUGCUACCUAUACAAUGUUUCUCUACCAGUAAAAAAGAAAAGAAACUUCAUUUUAGGACAAUUUCUGGAUUUGCCACCGUGGUACUGUGCACGUCCAUCAUCCUAUUAUGCUUUUCUUUUCCUGCACUAUUGCAUCAUUCACUGCUUAGGACUGCACCUCCUCUUGUAAUGAUAUACUUCAAAUGCUUCAAUGUCUACAGGCUCACUAUUAUGUAAAGGCUUAUAAAAUUCUAGGAAAUGGACAACGCUAGAAGUUAUUGCGCUUUGAGUAAUUAAAUCACAGGAUUGUGCAGAGAUUUUACCAAGCACAUGCUUUUGUUUUAUAAUUCAGAAUCUUGUUUUAUACAGAUAUCAUGAUUUCAGAAGGUUGCUUUUGUUC
Molecule: RNA transcript, 1452 nt
Organism: Musa acuminata AAA Group (dessert banana)
Lineage: Eukaryota; Viridiplantae; Streptophyta; Magnoliopsida; Zingiberales; Musaceae
Gene name: TIP41-like protein
Exons: 10
Source: RefSeq, a predicted model, not a curated record